Molecule: ribosomal RNA, 742 nt
Filed under: Cytobacillus firmus
Lineage: Bacteria; Bacillati; Bacillota; Bacilli; Caryophanales; Bacillaceae
Description: partial 23S ribosomal RNA
Rfam family: Bacterial large subunit ribosomal RNA
Source: RNAcentral
GUCGGUGGGAUACUACCCUGGCUGUAUUGAAAUUCUAACCCGCGCCCCUGAUCGGGGCGGGAGACAGUGUCAGGUGGGCAGUUUGACUGGGGCGGUCGCCUCCUAAAAAGUAACGGAGGCGCCCAAAGGUUCCCUCAGAAUGGUUGGAAAUCAUUCGCAGAGUGUAAAGGCACAAGGGAGCUUGACUGCGAGACCUACAAGUCGAGCAGGGACGAAAGUCGGGCUUAGUGAUCCGGUGGUUCCGCAUGGAAGGGCCAUCGCUCAACGGAUAAAAGCUACCCCGGGGAUAACAGGCUUAUCUCCCCCAAGAGUCCACAUCGACGGGGAGGUUUGGCACCUCGAUGUCGGCUCAUCGCAUCCUGGGGCUGUAGUCGGUCCCAAGGGUUGGGCUGUUCGCCCAUUAAAGCGGUACGCGAGCUGGGUUCAGAACGUCGUGAGACAGUUCGGUCCCUAUCCGUCGUGGGCGCAGGAAAUUUGAGAGGAGCUGUCCUUAGUACGAGAGGACCGGGAUGGACGCACCGCUGGUGUACCAGUUGUCUUGCCAAAGGCAUCGCUGGGUAGCUAUGUGCGGAAGGGAUAAGUGCUGAAAGCAUCUAAGCAUGAAGCCCCCCUCGAGAUGAGAUUUCCCAUAGCGUCAAGCUAGUAAGAUCCCUGAAAGAUGAUCAGGUUGAUAGGUCAGAGGUGGAAGCGUGGCGACAUGUGGAGCUGACUGAUACUAAUCGAUCGAGGACUUAACCAAUAA